CCUACGGGAGGCUGCAGUGAGGAAUAUUGGUCAAUGGGCUGACGCCUGAACCAGCCAAGUCGCGUGCGGGAAGAAUGCCCUAUGGGUUGUAAACCUCUUUUGUCAGGGAGUAAUAGGCGCUACGUGUAGCGUUAUCGAGAGUACAUGCAGAAAAAGCAUCGGCUACCCCCGUGCCAGCAGCCGCGGUAAUACGGAGGAUGCGCGCGUUAUACGGAUUUAUUGGGUUUAAAGGGUGCGUAGGCGGAAUGCCAAGUCAGUGGUAAAAUCGCGGGGCUCAACCGCGCUCAGCCGUUGAAACUGGCGGUCUUGAGUGGGCAAGAGGUAUGCGGAAUGCGUUGUGUAGCGGUGAAAUGCAUAGAUAUCACGCAGAACUCCGAUUGCGAAGGCAGCAUGCCGGCGCCCAACUGACGCUGAAGCACGAAAGCGUGGGUAUCGAACAGGAUUAGAUACCCUUGUAGUC
Molecule: ribosomal RNA, 460 nt
Filed under: uncultured bacterium
Lineage: Bacteria
Description: partial 16S ribosomal RNA
Rfam family: Bacterial small subunit ribosomal RNA
Source: RNAcentral